RNAcentral lists this long non-coding RNA (2083 nucleotides) under Trifolium pratense (red clover). RNAcentral's name for it is "long non-coding RNA (TPRA_LNC010553)". The record is from RNAcentral. Lineage: Eukaryota; Viridiplantae; Streptophyta; Magnoliopsida; Fabales; Fabaceae.
AUAGCACAAGUUGGCAAGACUUAUCAAAAUUUUAUCCAAAUUAAAGAGAGCUGCACCUGCACCUAUUUGGUCAAAAAGUAUCUUACAAAAAGUGAUAAGAUAAGGCUAAUUUGAAAAAGCUUCAUGAUUAUAUCUCUUAAGAUAUUGGGAUUAAGGAAACCCAAAGGGUGAAGAAAACUAAAUGGGCGGUGAAGGAAUUGCUAUAAAUAAGAGGCCAUGAGCUUAAGGGAACAUUCAUUCAUUCACUCUUACAACAACACACAAAACUUCACGAGAGAGGGUGAAGGCAGAGGAGAUUGAGAGCUACCAAGAAGAGCAGAGGAAUCAUCUUUCCAUCUCUUCUAGCUAUAUAUUGUAAGGUUAUUAUGUAUAACUAAUUCUCUCUUUUGUUGGGAUUAGAUGUAACUAACUCUAGUAAUAUGUAUACUUUAUGAUCAUGGUAUUAUAUAUGAUUUUAGAUUAUCCAUUAAUAUUAAUAUUGGUGUUGUUCUUGAUUUUCAUGUUUUAAUUAUAGGGUUUAACUUGUUAUAGACAUAUACUUUUUGAACCCAAAGAAAUAGGAUAACAUCUAUUGAAUCAUAAAUUCUAGACAUAGAUUUAGGUUUAAUAUUCACUUUUUGUAUCGGAUCUUAAUGUUAUUGUAUUGAUUGAUGAUCUGAGACAUCAGAGGUUAAUAGGUACAAUAGAUAUCCCGACGUUAUCUGGACACAGAAACGUUCGACGAGCGAUACGUGAUAAUAUUGAUAGAUGUCUAAAAUCUAUAUAACUGAUUAUGAGACAUAUGAAUGAGUUAGCGAUGUCUAAAUCCCAGCAAACUUAUCUCUAUGUAAUUUCAAUCAUUUCAUUACCAUCUGUAUAUUUUCGUACUUUCUCACAAACAAAUAUCCUCAAUCACUUUACUUAAAAUUAUAUUAAUUGUUGAACGGCAUCGAUAUCGCAUGUCCCUGUGGAGACGAUAAAAACUGUUGGAACAUGAUGAAGAAUUAUGGAGGGAACUUGGUAUUGAAAUAAACACAAUUGUAAGAAUCAUUAUAGUGUGAAUUGAAAAAAGACUCUUUGAGUUCCACAUUGGAAAAAUCACACUACUUGGUAGUGUUUAUAUAUCACAAGUUGGCAACCAAGGGUGUGCCCUUGGGGUACCCACUUUUGUAAGAAAGGGAGACCACACACAAUNNNNNNNNNNNNNNNNNNNNNNNNNNNNNNNNNNNNNNNNNNNGCUUGGGUGAUAUAUUAAUUUUUUAAUACUAAGAAAAAUGAAAUUUUGAAUUUAAAUUUCUUUUAAUUCGUCUCCUUAAUUCGCACAUGUUAAAUGUGCUUAGACCAAGUCUGAAACAGAUAAAUAUCUGUUAAACGGUCAAAAAUUACGUGUCCCUAUUUUUGUGCCACGUUUGGAAUUUUGACUGAGCAAUUUCAACUUCUGAAAAUCCUCUGAUUCCAGCUCCCUACUUGCCUAUAAAUACACUUCAGUUCUUCAGUUUGAAAAUCACUUCUUUUUCUCUGCAUUCUGAGAAAACUGCUUCUAAUUCCCUUCUCUCUUUUUUCUUCUUUGAAAUAAUUUUGUUGUUUUAACAUUUGAACGGUUGUAAACCGUAGAAUUGAUAUUCGUAUAUCAAUUAGAGUGGUUCGAAAAUUCAUACCAUAUUUGGUGUUAUUCUGGCCGAUACUACAGUGCAGUAGUUUAUCGGUAUUUAUUUGAUAAACGGCUGUUUUAUCCUGGGGACUUCGCGGUUGAUAUACUACAGUGCACUUCUUCGAGUAGUUCCGCGAAACGUCUUAAAGAAAGCGACCUAGUACGCGACUCAUCCAAUAAAUUAUUUCGUUGCCAAUUUUGAAAAUUCGUUUUCGGUUUUUUUUUUAAAGUCAGUAAACCGUUUUACAACAAAAACAUACUUACUUUUGUAAUUCAACAUCUACAUUACAUUUGUACCAAUUAACAGGAGGUUUCUGCCAUGAAAUGGUCUGCUGCUGCGUAUCUAUAUGCUGAUUCUGCUGUACCUGCUGCAACGCAUACCAUUCACUCCAUAAUUGUCGUGAUUUGAAGCCUAAGCUACGAACCGGUUCCUUCGAAUUGUUCCACACGCUA